GCGCGAGGCCGGCACCGAUCCGACGUUGCCUGUGGAGGGAGAGCGGGCAGCUGGCAGCAAAGAACCACAUCCGGACCCGGGGCUGGAACUCAAAGUGGAACCCGAUGAGGUCACAUGGUUCCUGCUCAGCAUCCAUCAACAAUGUCUUCAUGCUCCAUUUGUCCGGCCAGCCAGCUGAAAACAAUCCAAAGGAGGCCGGCUCGCAGGCCGAAUGCAUCAAGUUGUGGCUGCGCUGGCGCUUUACAUGACAGCACCAAGGAAAGUGGGAGGAGCUUCCGGGUCCAGCCGGCUUGACGACCACGAUAACCCCCACACCUGUCCCCGUGAGCAAGCGCCUUUCAAGCCUUUACACGACGGUACCUCCACAUCGCGACAAUUUGAGCUCAAAGGUGCACUGAUAAGUGGAAGAGGCUAUCGGAAUGUGAUUGGAUGAACGAAUCGAGGGGCGGGGACGGGCGAGGCUGCCGCGGCGUGGACAGCGAGGAGUGCAUAAGUCCACACAGCUUGUUGAAAACAAUGAUGUCAUAGUUUCAUGGGUGUUGAAUCAACGAUCGCCACCUUAGUGUGCAUGACAAAAAUCUGCUUGAUUUUUUUUUUUUUUUUGACCUUUCACACAGGGGCUGUCAUCCCUGAAUCCCCAUGAACAAAGUUCACAAAUUGACGCGCCCACCCUGCGCUAAAAAUCUUUAGAAUUCCCUCGAUAUCACAAGAUGGCGGCAAAGCACUCCUUUUGUCUAAAUUUUAAAAAAUGAAAAAGCCAAUUUGUGCCAAUUGGGAAGGUGGGAAUGGGAGAACGACUUCCAAGUAACGACUCGGCGACAAGAAUGUUACCGCCGGCGUCAUGGCAACCUGGCAUCGGAUAACUUCUCUGUUGUACUGGGAAGGAUUCAAUAGCGAAGGGGUUGGGGGGAGGGGGGGGGGGAUCUUUUUGUGGAACCCCGCUAGCAGUGUCACUGAUGCAAAACAAAGACACUCUGUCUCCUCACAACGCCGGAGGUCCAAACAUCUCGCUUCUGGUGGAUACGGGGCAAAGGUUCUACAACAAGGAACCGCCUUACCCCCGUCCACUUCCUGUUUACGUUGGCUCCACAGGCUCACUCGCUUGCGUUUCAUUGAAUUACACUCAGACGAUGCCGCCAUGCAUUAUUUUAGUAGCACCUCUUAUGUUCCAAAAAAUGAUUUGCCAGUCAUUACACGUUACAUAAUAAGUAAUGCAUCAAGUCAAGCUUAAUAUCAGGGAAUGUUUUUCCUCCCCUUGUCUAUUAUUGGUUUGCGUGACUAAUAUUAAAGUUUAGUCACAGUCACAUAUGAAAAGCCUAAAAUUGCAUCAGACUUUUGAAAUGAAUGCUAUCACAGUG
Long non-coding RNA from Hippocampus comes (tiger tail seahorse), 1358 nucleotides. RefSeq lists it as uncharacterized. The transcript has 2 exons. Lineage: Eukaryota; Metazoa; Chordata; Actinopteri; Syngnathiformes; Syngnathidae. The record is from RefSeq and is a predicted model, not a curated record.